This 371-nucleotide ribosomal RNA is filed under the name uncultured organism. Its description in RNAcentral is "partial 16S ribosomal RNA". It matches the Rfam family "Bacterial small subunit ribosomal RNA", at positions 527 to 896 of the family's 1533-position model. The record is from RNAcentral.
GUAGGUGGCAAGCGUUGUCCGGAAUUAUUGGGCGUAAAGCGCGCGCAGGCGGUUCUUUAAGUCUGAUGUGAAAGCCCACGGCUCAACCGUGGAGGGUCAUUGGAAACUGGAGAACUUGAGUACAGAAGAGGAAAGCGGAAUUCCACGUGUAGCGGCGAAAUGCGUAGAGAUGUGGAGGAACACCAGUGGCGAAGGCGGCUUUCUGGUCUGUAACUGACGCUGAGGCGCGAAAGCGUGGGGAGCAAACAGGAUUAGAUACCCUGGUAGUCCACGCCGUAAACGAUGAGUGCUAAGUGUUAGGGGGUUUCCGCCCCCCUUAGUGCUGCAGCUAACGCAUUAAGCACUCCGCCUGGGAUACGGCCGCAAGGCUG